Molecule: ribosomal RNA, 696 nt
Filed under: uncultured Bacteroidales bacterium
Lineage: Bacteria; Pseudomonadati; Bacteroidota; Bacteroidia; Bacteroidales
Description: bacterial SSU rRNA
Rfam family: Bacterial small subunit ribosomal RNA
Source: RNAcentral
AACGCUAGCUACAGGCUUAACACAUGCAAGUCGAGGGGAAACGACAUCGAAAGCUUGCUUUUGAUGGGCGUCGACCGGCGCACGGGUGAGUAACGCGUAUCCAACCUGCCCACCACUUGGGGAUAACCUUGCGAAAGUAAGACUAAUACCCAAUGAUAUCUCUAGAAGACAUCUGAAAGAGAUUAAAGAUUUAUCGGUGAUGGAUGGGGAUGCGUCUGAUUAGCUUGUUGGCGGGGUAACGGCCCACCAAGGCGACGAUCAGUAGGGGUCCUGAGAGGAAGGUCCCCCACAUUGGAACUGAGACACGGUCCAAACUCCUACGGGAGGCAGCAGUGAGGAAUAUUGGUCAAUGGACGUAAGUCUGAACCAGCCAAGUAGCGUGCAGGAUGACGGCCCUAUGGGUUGUAAACUGCUUUUAUGCGGGGAUAAAGUGAGGGACGCGUCCCUUUUUGCAGGUACCGCAUGAAUAAGGACCGGCUAAUUCCGUGCCAGCAGCCGCGGUAAUACGGAAGGUCCGGGCGUUAUCCGGAUUUAUUGGGUUUAAAGGGAGCGUAGCCCGGCUUUUAAGCGUGUUGUGAAAUGCCGCGGCUCAACCGUGGCACUGCACCGCGAACUGGAGGCCUUGAGUGCGCGGGAGGUAGGCGGAAUUCGUGGUGUAGCGGUGAAAUGCUUAGAUAUCACGAAGAACUCCGAUUG